Molecule: ribosomal RNA, 492 nt
Filed under: uncultured bacterium
Lineage: Bacteria
Description: partial 16S ribosomal RNA
Rfam family: Bacterial small subunit ribosomal RNA
Source: RNAcentral
AGUGAACGCUGGCGGUAGGCCUAACACACGCAAGUCGAACGGCAGCACAGUAAGAGCUUGCUCUUACGGGUGGCGAGUGGCGGACGGGUGAGGAAUACAUCGGAAUCUACUUUUUCGUGGGGGAUAACGUAGGGAAACUUACGCUAAUACCGCAUACGACCUACGGGUGAAAGCAGGGGAUCUUCGGACCUUGCGCGAUUGAAUGAGCCGAUGUCGGAUUAGCUAGUUGGCGGGGUAAAGGCCCACCAAGGCGACGAUCCGUAGCUGGUCUGAGAGGAUGAUCAGCCACACUGGAACUGGGACACGGUCCAGACUCCUACGGGAGGCAGCAGUGGGGAAUAUUGGACAAUGGGCGCAAGCCUGAUCCAGCCAUACCGCGUGGGUGAAGAAGGCCUUCGGGUUGUAAAGCCCUUUUGUUGGGAAAGAACAGCAGCAGGUUAAUACCCCGCUGUUCUGACGGUACCCAAAGAAUAAGCACCGGCUAACUUCGUG